UAUAGGAAAAAGCUUUAAAAAUCUUUUUCUCAAGAACCAUUGGGCCAAAGAAGUUGACAUUUACAUGAAAGCUUUCUGACAUAGUGUAGAUUCAAGUUUGCAAAGGGUAGUUUGGGCCAUAAUAGGGACUAAGUAUUACAUGCAAAUAUAUAGGGAAAAUCUUUAAAAGUUUUCUCGCGAAACGCUGGGCAAAAAAAGUUAACGUGGAAGCUUUCUGAAAUAGAGUAGAUGCAAUUUAGUUAAAAUCAUGUCGGGGGGGUCAAGGCGGGGGUCAAGGCCGCAAUAGGGGAUGAAAAGGUUUACAUGCGAAUAUAUAGGGAAGAGAUUUAAGUAUGAGUCAAGGUGACUCAGGUGAGUGAUGUGGCCCAUAUGCCUUUUGUUUUAAAUCAUGAAAUGGCAUACAUAUUGUACCAGUUUCAAGAAUUCCUUUUGAGUCAAAGUUUGUAUAGGCGGAUGUUUCGUCAAAUUUUGUCCACUUAAUAUAGACUUAGUUCACUUGCUGGAUUAUGUAUUUUUCAGAUAUCCAACAUGUCUUAUAGUUUUAAAUAUGUUUGUCUUUAAUCAGUAUUUAUAAAACAAAACUGUCACUUG
Ostrea edulis (European flat oyster) is the source of this 591-nucleotide long non-coding RNA. RefSeq lists it as uncharacterized. The transcript has 2 exons. NCBI's taxonomy places the organism in Eukaryota, Metazoa, Mollusca, Bivalvia, Ostreida, Ostreidae. The record is from RefSeq and is a predicted model, not a curated record.